Molecule: ribosomal RNA, 448 nt
Filed under: uncultured bacterium
Lineage: Bacteria
Description: partial 16S ribosomal RNA
Rfam family: Bacterial small subunit ribosomal RNA
Source: RNAcentral
AACGAACGCUGGCGGCAUGCCUAACACAUGCAGGUCGAACGAGAUCUUCGGGUCUAGUGGCGCACGGGUGCGUAACGCGUGGGAAUCUGCCCUUUGGUUCGGAAUAACAGUUGGAAACGACUGCUAAUACCGGAUGAUGACGAAAGUCCAAAGAUUUAUCGCCAGAGGAUGAGCCCGCGUAGGAUUAGCUAGUUGGUGUGGUAAAGGCGCACCAAGGCGACGAUCCUUAGCUGGUCUGAGAGGAUGAUCAGCCACACUGGGACUGAGACACGGCCAGACUCCUACGGGAGGCAGCAGUGGGGAAUAUUGGACAAUGGGCGAAAGCCUGAUCCAGCAAUGCCGCGUGAGUGAUGAAGGCCUUAGGGUUGUAAAGCUCUUUUACCCGGGAUGAUAAUGACAGUACCGGGAGAAUAAGCUCCGGCUAACUCCGUGCCAGCAGCCGCCGUAA